UAAUACUAGCGGUCCAAGUCGCAGCCAUCUUUAUUGGGUCUAAAACAUCCGUAGCUUGCUUAGUAAGUUCCUUGUGAAAUCCCAUAUCUCAAAUAUGGGGCGGGCAAGGAGUACUACUAGGCUAGAGACCGGGAGACGUAAAGAGUACGAUCAAAGUAGCGGUAAAAUGUUUUAAUCUUGAUCGGACUAACAAUAGCGAAGGCACUUUACGAGAACGGUUCUGACAGUAAGGGAUGAAGGCUAGGGGCGCAAAACGGAUUAGAUACCCGUGUAGUCCUAGCAGUAAACACUGCACACUAAACAUCGGUACCUCCUCGAGAGGCAUCGGUGCUGUAGGGAAGCCGUAGAGUGUGCUACCUGGGAAGUAUAGUCGCAAGGCCG
This 381-nucleotide ribosomal RNA is filed under the name uncultured euryarchaeote. Its description in RNAcentral is "bacterial SSU rRNA". It matches the Rfam family "Archaeal small subunit ribosomal RNA", at positions 471 to 851 of the family's 1478-position model. Lineage: Archaea; Methanobacteriati; Methanobacteriota. The record is from RNAcentral.